Molecule: unclassified non-coding RNA, 253 nt
Filed under: Hevea brasiliensis (rubber tree)
Lineage: Eukaryota; Viridiplantae; Streptophyta; Magnoliopsida; Malpighiales; Euphorbiaceae
Source: RNAcentral
GAGUGAAAUUCUUCUUAUGUAUGUACAGGCAGUUGGGGUCAUACUGAGGCGGGAUUCAGAAUUGUGCCAACUCCGUGCAUCUAAUCAAACAGAUAGUCCAGGGAAUGGUGGGAUGGUUCAUCAUGUGUUGCAUCGGCUGCUUCCAAUGUCUACUGACAAAUCUGUAGGGCCUGAUGAAUGGAGAACCAAGUUGUCUGAAAGAGCUUCAUGGUUUCUGGUGGUACUGUGUGGCCGAUCUGGGGAAGGGCGGAGG